GGCCUCGUGGUCAGUGGUAUGAUUCUCGCUUCGGGUGCGAGAGGUCCCGGGUUCGAUUCCCGGUGAGGCCG
RNAcentral lists this transfer RNA (71 nucleotides) under Phytophthora infestans (potato late blight agent). RNAcentral describes it as "tRNA-Pro". It matches the Rfam family "tRNA". Rfam says of the family: Transfer RNA (tRNA) molecules are approximately 80 nucleotides in length. Their secondary structure includes four short double-helical elements and three loops (D, anti-codon, and T loops). The record is from RNAcentral. Lineage: Eukaryota; Oomycota; Peronosporomycetes; Peronosporales; Peronosporaceae.